UUCCUGCAUUCUUGGAACAGGAGGGAGGUCGCCCCGACUUACGCAGUCUUCAGGGUUCUUCGGAAAUCUCUCCAUGGUUACUAAUCUGGAUGACAGUAACUGGGCAGCUGCAUUUUCAUCACAGCGUUCCGGGCUCUUCACAAACACAGAGCCCCACAGUAUAACAGAAGAUGUAACUAUCAGUGCUGUUAUGUUACGUGAGGAUGAUCCUGGAGAAGCUGGUAAAAUGGCAUUGAGCUUUGUGACAAGUAGCUUUUCACUUUACUAAGAUGAAGGAA
This 278-nucleotide small RNA is filed under the name Pongo abelii (Sumatran orangutan). RNAcentral's name for it is "retained intron". The record is from RNAcentral. Lineage: Eukaryota; Metazoa; Chordata; Mammalia; Primates; Hominidae.